RNAcentral lists this ribosomal RNA (413 nucleotides) under uncultured bacterium. RNAcentral's name for it is "partial 16S ribosomal RNA". It matches the Rfam family "Bacterial small subunit ribosomal RNA", at positions 360 to 776 of the family's 1533-position model. The record is from RNAcentral.
AAUAUUGCGCAAUGGGGGAAACCCUGACGCAGCAACGCCGCGUGAGCGAAGAAGGCCUUCGGGUCGUAAAGCUCUGUCAUAAGGGACGAAGUCCCCGUAAGGGGGGUGACGGUACCUUAGGAGGAAGCCCCGGCUAACUACGUGCCAGCAGCCGCGGUAAUACGUAGGGGGCAAGCGUUGUCCGGAAUUAUUGGGCGUAAAGGGCGUGUAGGCGGUUAAUUAAGUCAGGUGUGAAAGACCGGGGCUCAACCCCGGGAUUGCAUCUGAAACUGAUUAGCUUGAGGGCAAGAGAGGAAAGCGGAAUUCCUAGUGUAGCGGUGAAAUGCGUAGAUAUUAGGAGGAACACCAGUGGCGAAGGCGGCUUUCUGGCUUGACCCUGACGCUGAGGCGCGAAAGCGUGGGGAGCAAACAGG